RNAcentral lists this long non-coding RNA (268 nucleotides) under Gossypium barbadense (sea-island cotton). RNAcentral describes it as "long non-coding RNA (GBAR_LNC022376)". The record is from RNAcentral. Lineage: Eukaryota; Viridiplantae; Streptophyta; Magnoliopsida; Malvales; Malvaceae.
CAAGAUUCAUUACAAUACAGCAAACACAUUUUAAUAGCCAAAAAUCAUCACACAAUCAUUUUAUCACUUUAUGGCAUGUAUAAAUAGACUCACGCGUGCUACGUUAGUCCUAGAAUCGACUAAACCAUAGCUCUGAUACCAAUAAAAUUGUAACACCCCGUACCCGAGACCGUUUCCGGAGUCGGACACAAGGGGUUCACAGACUAAAUUCGCUUACUAUCACAGUCCAUUUUAGAAUUUUCCAGGCAGUUGGCUAACUGCAACACUG